CCUUCCGUUCCAUCACUCGUGUGUAUCUGCAUUGCUUAGUCCCUAAGUUUUCAAAACUCCGCGCUUCAAGGGCUCCUGGGCGUUCAGAGGUGCCGUGUGGACCAGAGCAUGGGGGAGGGGCAUAUCUGUGUGUCCGUGUGUGUAGGGGGAGGUGGGGACAGGGCCUCCACCCUGGCUUGAACUAGAACAGCUUCACUCUGCUGUGUUUACCUAUUGAGCUUAUUGUACCAUUUCAUUUGGAGGAAGGUCCCAUGACUUUCAAAAGAAGAAAAGUCUGAAAACCCCGAGUGUGGAAGGAGGGUCCCUACCCCCGCUUCUUUGUCCCCCUCCGUAGUCUCCUGGAAGUCAUUUGGACACGAUUCCUUCUCGCUUCAGACCAUGACCAGAGCAAUAAAUCACUUGCACCUGGAUAUCUGCAUGGAGUCAUCUCCUAGAAUUUCUGGGUUUAUGAAGACUUCUUCAAAAACUUGAACUAAAAGUUUAUUUUGGAGAAUGCAGUUAAUUUGAAAACUCUGAAGAUCUUUGGUUACGUGACGGAUGGAAAUAAUUAGACUCAAAGAACUCCAUGUUCAGGAUACCUCAGGAUGGUGCUGAUGGACUUCUAGACAUGAAAAAGGACCCUGGACUUACUCUCCAGGAAGCUCCUUCUUCCCA
Non-coding RNA from Kogia breviceps (pygmy sperm whale), 654 nucleotides. NCBI's taxonomy places the organism in Eukaryota, Metazoa, Chordata, Mammalia, Artiodactyla, Physeteridae. The record is from RefSeq and is a predicted model, not a curated record.